This 427-nucleotide ribosomal RNA is filed under the name uncultured bacterium. Its description in RNAcentral is "bacterial SSU rRNA". It matches the Rfam family "Bacterial small subunit ribosomal RNA", at positions 355 to 774 of the family's 1533-position model. The record is from RNAcentral.
UGGGGAAUUUUGGACAAUGGACGCAAGUCUGAUCCAGCCAUGCCGCGUGCAGGAUGAAGGCCUUCGGGUUGUAAACUGCUUUUGUACGGAGCGAAAAGGUCUGCCCUAAUACGGUGGGCUCAUGACGGUACCGUAAGAAUAAGCACCGGCUAACUACGUGCCAGCAGCCGCGGUAAUACGUAGGGUGCAAGCGUUAAUCGGAAUUACUGGGCGUAAAGCGUGCGCAGGCGGUUAUGCAAGACAGAGGUGAAAUCCCCGGGCUCAACCUGGGAACUGCCUUUGUGACUGUAUAGCUAGAGUACGGUAGAGGAGGAUGGAAUUCCGCGUGUAGCAGUGAAAUGCGUAGAUAUGCGGGGGAACACCGAUGGCGAAGGCAAUCCCCUAGACCUGUACUGACGCUCAUGCACGAAAGCGUGGGGAGCAAACA